CCUACGGGAGGCAGCAGUGAGGAAUAUUGGUCAAUGGGCGGGAGCCUGAACCAGCCAAGCCGCGUGAGGGAAGAAGGUACAGCGUAUCGUAAACCUCUUUUGUCAGGGAACAAAGGCGGGGACUAGUCCCCGGAUGAGGGUACCUGAAGAAAAAGCAUCGGCUAACUCCGUGCCAGCAGCCGCGGUAAUACGGAGGAUGCGAGCGUUAUCCGGAAUUAUUGGGUGUAAAGGGUGCGUAGACGGAAGAACAAGUUGGUUGUGAAAUCCCUCGGCUCAACUGAGGAACUGCAACCAAAACUAUUCUCCUUGAGUGUCGGAGAGGAAAGUGGAAUUCCUAGUGUAGCGGUGAAAUGCGUAGAUAUUAGGAGGAACACCAGUGGCGAAGGCGACUUUCUGGACGAUAACUGACGUUGAGGCACGAAAGUGUGGGGAGCAAACAGGAUUAGAUACCCCAGUAGUC
RNAcentral lists this ribosomal RNA (460 nucleotides) under uncultured bacterium. RNAcentral describes it as "partial 16S ribosomal RNA". It matches the Rfam family "Bacterial small subunit ribosomal RNA", at positions 338 to 795 of the family's 1533-position model. The record is from RNAcentral.